Molecule: ribosomal RNA, 499 nt
Filed under: uncultured bacterium
Lineage: Bacteria
Description: partial 16S ribosomal RNA
Rfam family: Bacterial small subunit ribosomal RNA
Source: RNAcentral
GACGAACGCUGGCGGCGUGCCUAAUACAUGCAAGUCGAGCGAAGUUUUUCUGGUGCUUGCACCGGAAAAACUUAGCGGCGAACGGGUGAGUAACACGUAAAGAACCUGCCUCAUAGACUGGGACAACUAUUGGAAACGAUAGCUAAUACCGGAUAAUAGCAUUAACUGCAUGGUUGAUGUUUAAAAGUUGGUUUUGCUAACACUAUGAGAUGGCUUUGCGGUGCAUUAGCUAGUUGGUGGGGUAAAGGCCUACCAAGGCGACGAUGCAUAGCCGACCUGAGAGGGUGAUCGGCCACACUGGGACUGAGACACGGCCCAGACUCCUACGGGAGGCAGCAGUAGGGAAUCUUCCGCAAUGGGCGAAAGCCUGACGGAGCAACGCCGCGUGAGUGAAGAAGGAUUUCGGUUUGUAAAGCUCUGUUGUUAGGGAAGAAUGAUUGUGUAGUAACUAUACACAGUAGAGACGGUACCUAACCAGAAAGCCACGGCUAACUACGUG